This 1217-nucleotide ribosomal RNA is filed under the name uncultured Rhizaria. RNAcentral describes it as "SSU rRNA". It matches the Rfam family "Eukaryotic small subunit ribosomal RNA", at positions 577 to 1804 of the family's 1831-position model. The record is from RNAcentral.
CGGUAAUUCCAGCUCCAAUAGCGUAUACUAAAGUUGUUGCAGUUAAAAAGCUCGUAGUUGGAUUUCUGCGGGGACGGAGCGGCCGGACGCAACUUGCGUCUCGAGCUAGCGCUUUCCCCGCAUCCUGCCGCGAACCGUGCUACCAUUAGCUUGGUGGCGCUGGGGAUCGGCUCGAUUACUUUGAGAAAAAUAGAGUGUUCAAAGCAGGCCACACGCCUUGAAUAAGUUAGCAUGGAAUAAUGACUAAGGACUUCGGUUCUAUUUUGUUGGUGUUCGGGACUGAAGUAAUGAUUGAUAGGGACAGUUGGGGCGGUCUGUAUUCCAAAGCGAGAGGUGAAAUUCUUAGACCUUCGGAAGACAAACAGCUGCGAAAGCGUUCCGCAAGGAUGUUCCCUUUGAUCAAGAACGAAAGUUGGGGGAUCGAAGACGAUCAGAUACCGUCGUAGUCUCAACUAUAAACUAUACCAGCUAGGGAUCGGUCAACGUUUAAUCAUUCGACUUGAUCGGCACCUUAUGAGAAAUCAAAGCAUCUGGGUUCCGGGGGGAGUAUGGUCGCAAGGCUGAAACUUAAAGGAAUUGACGGAAGGGCACCACCAGCCGUGGAGCCUGUGGCUUAAUUUGACUCAACACGGGAAAACUUACCAGGUCCAGACAUAGUAAGGAUUGACAGAUUGAUAGCUCUUUCUUGAUUCUGUGGGUGGUGGUGCAUGGCCGUUCUUAGUUGGUGGAGUGAUUUGUCUGGUUAAUUCCGUUAACGAACGAGACCCCAGCCUGCUAAAUAGCGCGGCUGAGCUUUGCUCGGUGCGAGCUUCUUAGAGGGACUAUGAUGCGCGAUAGCACAUGGAAGUUUGGGGCAAUAACAGGUCUGUGAUGCCCUUAGAUGUUCUGGGCCGCACACGGGCUACACUGGCGCCUGCAACGAGCAUAUCAGCUGGCCCGAGAGGGUCUUGGCUAAUCUUUUGAACCGGCGCCGUGCUUGGGAUUGACCAUUGCAAUUGUUGGUCAUGCAACGAGGAAUGCCUUGUAAACGCGAGUCAUCAGCUCGCAUUGAAUACGUCCCUGCCCUUUGUACACACCGCCCGUCGCUCCUACCGAUGAAUGUUCCGAUGAAAUUUUCGGAGAGCGCCAGAGAACGGGGCUCCGCCUUGCAGAUCUGGAGGCUCAAAGUCACUUAAAUCUGAACAUUUCGAGGAAGGAGAAGUCGUAACAAGGUAACC